GAGGACCUACAGCCUAACAUGGCCCACCUG
Molecule: non-coding RNA, 30 nt
Filed under: Rattus norvegicus (Norway rat)
Lineage: Eukaryota; Metazoa; Chordata; Mammalia; Rodentia; Muridae
Source: RNAcentral